Molecule: ribosomal RNA, 314 nt
Filed under: Klebsiella pneumoniae
Lineage: Bacteria; Pseudomonadati; Pseudomonadota; Gammaproteobacteria; Enterobacterales; Enterobacteriaceae
Description: bacterial SSU rRNA
Rfam family: Bacterial small subunit ribosomal RNA
Source: RNAcentral
AGCGGUAGCACUGAGAGCUUGCUCUCGGGUGACGAGCGGCGGACGGGUGAAUAAAGUCUGGGAAACUGCCUGAUGGAGGGGGAUAACUACUGAAAACGGUAGCUAAUACCGCAUAACGUCGCAAGACCAAAGUGGGUGACCUUCGGGCCUCAUGCCAUCAGAUGUCCUCUAAAUGGGAUUAGCUAGUAGGUGGGGUAACGGCUCACCUAUGCGACGAUCCCUAGCUGGUCUGAGAGUAUGACCAGUCACACUGGAACUGAGACACGGUCCAGACUCCUACGGGAGGCUGCAUUGGGGAAUAUUGCACAAUGGGC